UGCAGGUCCCACUUCCUGCUCAGCAGUGACCCUCCUGAUCUGGUCCUUCACCUCCCAGAACCAGGACCUCAGACCCACCAGCAGCCAGCCGUGCCUUCAGCAGCUCCACAUCGACCAAAGACUGACACCUGCACAGGUGAGGGGGAGGAGCCUGUCAGCUGUCUCCAACCUGCAGCCAGGCGGCGCUGCAGAGAGACUAAAGAACUCCACUUCCCAACAUGCAACACUCACAAAUCCAAGAACCAAUACAGAACCGGACUGGAACUGAGGCGCUUUAGUCCCAUCGAUCACACUGAUUAAUGAUCGCUGAUUAUUGGUCACUGAUUAUUGAUCACUGAUUACUGAUCGCUGAUUACUGAUUAUUGAUCAGAGAUAAAUGGAACACUGAUUGUUUUUUCACUGAAAUAUAAAAAAAACAACACAUUUAUUUUAGAAUUUAAAACACUGAUUGUCUAAUAAAUUGAAUCCUUUGGUUGAUUUUUACGGAUAAGAUUCCUUUCAGAGUUCAGAGACUUAAAUUCUUGGUUUUCUAGACGUUCUGACUCAGUAGCUGACAGACCAACAGUCCAAACCCCAGAGGGAACAUCAGCGUUUGUGCAAUACUCACAAGAAGGAGCAAAUAAAUGGAAUUACAGCAGAACAGCUGAUUUACAUUUACAGAGUUUCUAGAUUUUAGUUUCAUACAUCAGACUCCUCCAGAUGUUCUGGUUGCUCAGAACUAUUAGAGAUGAUAGAAGAAGAACCCAGGAUCAUCUAGAAAAGGUUCUGAACAGAAACCAGAUCCAGUGUUCAGACUGAGACACCUGGAUGGAUAUAAAACUGGUCUGGUGUCAGUUUUUACCAGAACUCAGAUGUUUCUCCUCCUAAAUGUCAUGGUUCUAUCUGCUGGACUGAUGAAGUUCUGGAAAAGUCCAUUAGAAAGUGAUAAAUCUGGACCCAGAAACAGGAACUGGACAGUUUCCAAGAAAUUCAGAUAAAUUUAAAGUAAUUUUAUACAAAUUUGGAGUCAUUUUGGACAAUCUGAGUAAAUUUGAACAAACCAUGAGUCAUCUCAGAACAUUUCAAGUCAUUUUGGUCAAAUUUCAGUCAUUCUCCACAAAUUUAUGACAAAUUUUGAGUCAUUUGAAACCAUUUUUGAGAUGUGGACAGUUUAAAUAAUAAUCUUAAACAAAGGAUGAGUCACUCUGGAACAUUUGAGUCAUUUUGGUCAAACCUCACUCAUUUUGAAAAGAUUUUCACUGUUUUUUUUUUUUUUUUUUACAGUUUGUCUUUUUAUUGACAAAUUGAACUUCACUUGGACUCUUGAAUUUCCUUCUGCACUUCCUGUUUUGUCCUCGUCUCCCUGAACAUCUGAACUAAAGUGUUUAUCUGCUGCACUGAUGAAGUUCUGAAAAGGUCCAUUAAAAAGUGAUAAAUCUGGACCCUCCUCUAUGGACUUCAAGGAUCUGGAAUGUUCUAAGUGAGACUAAAGUUAAAGACUGGAAGCAGGAAGGAGAACGUCCCCUGGAGAAAGUUCUAGAGUAGACCUCCCGACAACUGGAGAAAGUUCUAGAGUAGACCUUUCUCCAGUGGACAUUCUCCUCUAUGGACUUCAAGGACCUGGAACUCUGGAGAUAUUCCCAGUAUGGAGGUAGAACUCUGAUCACUGAUAAAGAACCAGCUGGUUCUGAGGAGAUCUGACUGGUUUUCUGGAUCUUCUGGGGUAUUUGGUCUGUCUGUGUCUGAACAUUAACCUGAAGCUUCCUCUCAGAUCAUUUUUAUUUCUUUCUUCACGUCUGAACUAAUGGCAACAAUAAAAACAACCAGAAUUAAAUGAUUGUUGGACAAUCUUCCAAACGGCGAAUCUGAACACAAGACCUCAAACGUCAGGUGGUGCUGAGUCCAAGAACAAGAGAACUUCCUGAGACUUUCCUGAGCUGGUUCUGGACCUGCAGUUUACCAGAACCAGCUGUCUGAGCCGUGAACCUUGAGUUUGUUCUGAUUGCACUAAAGCUCUGCUCUGGUCCAAGAAGACGACGACGGACUGGAGGCCUUUUGAUUUUUCUUGUUUUUAUUCUUGUGAGAUCCUUCAGUUUGAUUUUUGUUGUGAACAUUUGUGUUUGUUGUGUGACGAUGGUUUGGGAUGACAUUUAAGCCAUCGUAGGUUUUCAUGAACUCACUCUGCACUUUGAUUCCUUUAGCUGGGACAGUUUAGUGACGGCAGACUAUUCUAGGUUUCUGGCUUCCUGUCAACCUGUCGGCAGGUUCUCUAAACGUUCUCCAGCUUCUCCUGCUGCCAAAUCCUCACGUUGUGUCUUUAAAGGUGGAAGGAAACGGGAUGAAGCCGUUUCUUUCUCCAGAUGGACGAACCGAAUGUUUGGCUGCGAUGUUCUUCAAACUUUACUGGAACCUUAAGAUGAAUAUAGUUUUCUGAGUGAAUAAUUUUGUAAUAAAUCAGAUUU
Amphiprion ocellaris (clown anemonefish) is the source of this 2441-nucleotide long non-coding RNA. NCBI's taxonomy places the organism in Eukaryota, Metazoa, Chordata, Actinopteri, Pomacentridae. The record is from Ensembl.